GCCGACAUAGCUCAGUUGGUAGAGCAGCUGAAUCGUAAUCAGCAGGUCGUGGGUUCGAGCCCCUCUGUCGGCU
This 73-nucleotide transfer RNA is filed under the name Lutibacter sp. RNAcentral's name for it is "tRNA-Thr". It matches the Rfam family "tRNA". From Rfam's summary of the family: Transfer RNA (tRNA) molecules are approximately 80 nucleotides in length. Their secondary structure includes four short double-helical elements and three loops (D, anti-codon, and T loops). Further hydrogen bonds mediate the characteristic L-shaped molecular structure. tRNAs have two regions of fundamental functional importance: the anti-codon, which is responsible for specific mRNA codon recognition, and the 3' end, to which the tRNAs corresponding amino acid is attached (by aminoacyl-tRNA synthetases). tRNAs cope with the degeneracy of the genetic code in two manners: having more than one tRNA (with a specific anti-codon) for a particular amino acid; and 'wobble' base-pairing, i.e. permitting non-standard base-pairing at the 3rd anti-codon position. The record is from RNAcentral. RNAcentral also lists the same sequence under 1 other name. Lineage: Bacteria; Pseudomonadati; Bacteroidota; Flavobacteriia; Flavobacteriales; Flavobacteriaceae.